RNAcentral lists this transfer RNA (88 nucleotides) under Gammaproteobacteria bacterium. Its description in RNAcentral is "tRNA-Leu". The record is from RNAcentral. Lineage: Bacteria; Pseudomonadati; Pseudomonadota; Gammaproteobacteria.
CGGAAUAUCAACGGCUUAGGCGCGUACCCGCCCCUGUCCGGUCUCCGGGAGGCGGGGGCCGCCGGUUCAAGUCCGGCCACUCCGACCA